Molecule: non-coding RNA, 27 nt
Filed under: Rattus norvegicus (Norway rat)
Lineage: Eukaryota; Metazoa; Chordata; Mammalia; Rodentia; Muridae
Source: RNAcentral
UGCUAGUGUGAACAGCCAACUGGGGGG